CCGCGAGUUUCUGUUUGCAGCAAGCUUAAGCCGUUAGGUGUAGGCGCAGCGAAAGCGAGUCCGAACAGGGCGCUGAGUUGCAGGCAGAAGACCCGAAACCGAGUGAUCUAGCCAUGGCCAGGCUGAAGGUGCGGUAACACGCACUGGAGGGCCGAACCCACGCCUGUUGAAAAAGUCGGGGAUGAGCUGUGGCUAGGGGUGAAAGGCCAAUCAAACUCGGAAAUAGCUGGUUCUCCGCGAAAUCUAUUGAGGUAGAUCGUCGUUCGAUUACCGCCGGAGGUAGAGCACCGGAAGGGCUAGGGGGACCCAAAGUCCUACCAAACCCUACCGAACUCCGAAUGCCGGCGAGUACAGGGCGGCAGACAGACAGUGGGUGCUAAGGUCCAUUGUCGAGAGGGAAACAGCCCAGACCACCAGCUAAGGCCCCCAAAUGAUGGCUAAGUGGGAAAGCAUGUGAGACGGCCAAAACAACCAGGAGGUUGGCUUAGAAGCAGCCAUCCUUUAAAGAAAGCGUAAUAGCUCACUGGUCUAAUAGCUGUCUUGCGGCGAAAAUGUAACGGGGCUCAAGCCAUCUGCCGAAGCUGUGGGCGCAUGCAAAUGCGCGGUAGCGGAGCGUUCCGUAAGCCUGUGAAGGCGGACCCGUGAGGGCCGCUGGAGGUAUCGGAAGUGCGAAUGCGGACAUGAGUAGCGACAAGGAGAGUGAGAACCUCUCCCGCCGAAAGUCCAAGGGUUCCUGCGCAAGGCCAAUCCGCGCAGGGUGAGCCGGCCCCUAAGGCGAGGGCGACAGCCGUAGCCGAUGGAAACCAGGUGAAUAUUCCUGGGCCUGUCAGAAGUGACGAGUGUGAAACGUUGUUCCUUCUUAUUGGAUUGGAGGGGCGGCUGGAUCACUCCAGGAAAUAGCUCUGACAUAUAGACCGUACCCGAAACCGACACAGGUGGACUGGUUGAGUAUACCGAGGCGCUUGAGAGAACCAUGCUGAAGGAACUAGGCAAAUUACUCGCGUAACUUCGGGAUAAGCGAGACCCAAUUCUGGGCAACCAGGGUUGGGUGGCACAAACCAGGGGGUGGCGACUGUUUAGUAAAAACACAGGACUCUGCGAAAUCGAGAGAUGACGUAUAGGGUCUGACGCCUGCCCGGUGCCGGAAGGUUAAGGGGAGAUGUGCAAGCAUCGAACCGAAGCCCCGGUAAACGGCGGCCGUAACUAUAACGGUCCUAAGGUAGCGAAAUUCCUUGUCGGGUAAGUUCCGACCUGCACGAAUGGCGUAACGACCUCCCCACUGUCUCCAGCAUGGGCUCAGCGAAAUUGAAUUCCCCGUGAAGAUGCGGGGUACCCGUGGUCAGACGGAAAGACCCUAUGAACCUUUACUGCAACUUCGCAGUGGUGCCAGGAAGGGGCUGUGUAGGAUAGGUGGGAGGCUAUGAAACCGGGGCGCUAGCUUCGGCGGAGCCAUCCUUGAAAUACCACCCUGCGCCUUUCUGGCAUCUAACUGAGCCCGGUUAUCCCGGGCCAGGACCCUGCGUGGUGGGCAGUUUGACUGGGGCGGUCGCCUCCCAAAUGGUAACGGAGGCGCGCGAUGGUGGGCUCAAGCCGGUCGGACAUCGGCUGUUGAGUGCAAAGGCAUAAGCCCGCCUGACUGUGAGCGCGACAGCGCGAACAGAGACGAAAGUCGGCCUUAGUGAUCCGGUGGUCCCGCGUGGAAGGGCCAUCGCUCAACGGAUAAAAGGUACUCUAGGGAUAACAGGCUGAUCUCCCCCAAGAGUCCACAUCGACGGGGAGGUUUGGCACCUCGAUGUCGGCUCAUCGCAUCCCGGGGCUGGAGCAGGUCCCAAGGGUUCGGCUGUUCGCCGAUUAAAGCGGUACGUGAGCUGGGUUUAGAACGUCGUGAGACAGUUCGGUCCCUAUCUGCCAUGGGUGUUGGAGACUUGCGAGGAUCUGUCCCUAGUACGAGAGGACCGGGAUGGACGUACCUCUGGUGUACCAGUUGUUCCGCCAGGAGCAUCGCUGGGUAGCUAAGUACGGAACGGAUAACCGCUGAAGGCAUCUAAGCGGGAAACCAGCCUCAAAACCAGGUCUCCCCAAGGGUCGUGGAAGACCACCACGUCGAUAGGCCGCAAGUGGAAGUCGGGUAACCGACGCAGCUGAGCGGUCCUAAUCACCCAAUUGAUCUC
RNAcentral lists this ribosomal RNA (2171 nucleotides) under Teichococcus vastitatis. RNAcentral describes it as "bacterial LSU rRNA". It matches the Rfam family "Bacterial large subunit ribosomal RNA", at positions 621 to 2925 of the family's 2925-position model. Lineage: Bacteria; Pseudomonadati; Pseudomonadota; Alphaproteobacteria; Acetobacterales; Roseomonadaceae. The record is from RNAcentral.